Molecule: ribosomal RNA, 677 nt
Filed under: Salmonella enterica subsp. enterica serovar Infantis
Lineage: Bacteria; Pseudomonadati; Pseudomonadota; Gammaproteobacteria; Enterobacterales; Enterobacteriaceae
Also listed under: 1 other name
Description: partial 23S ribosomal RNA
Rfam family: Bacterial large subunit ribosomal RNA
Source: RNAcentral
GAGCCUUGAUGUGUAGGAUAGGUGGGAGGCUUUGAAGCGUGGACGCCAGUCUGCGUGGAGCCGACCUUGAAAUACCACCCUUUAAUGUUUGAUGUUCUAACGUGGAUCCGUAAUCCGGGUUGCGGACAGUGUCUGGUGGGUAGUUUGACUGGGGCGGUCUCCUCCUAAAGAGUAACGGAGGAGCACGAAGGUUGGCUAAUCCUGGUCGGACAUCAGGAGGUUAGUGCAAUGGCAUAAGCCAGCUUGACUGCGAGCGUGACGGCGCGAGCAGGUGCGAAAGCAGGUCAUAGUGAUCCGGUGGUUCUGAAUGGAAGGGCCAUCGCUCAACGGAUAAAAGGUACUCCGGGGAUAACAGGCUGAUACCGCCCAAGAGUUCAUAUCGACGGCGGUGUUUGGCACCUCGAUGUCGGCUCAUCACAUCCUGGGGCUGAAGUAGGUCCCAAGGGUAUGGCUGUUCGCCAUUUAAAGUGGUACGCGAGCUGGGUUUAGAACGUCGUGAGACAGUUCGGUCCCUAUCUGCCGUGGGCGCUGGAGAACUGAGGGGGGCUGCUCCUAGUACGAGAGGACCGGAGUGGACGCAUCACUGGUGUUCGGGUUGUCAUGCCAAUGGCACUGCCCGGUAGCUAAAUGCGGAAGAGAUAAGUGCUGAAAGCAUCUAAGCACGAAACUUGCCCCGA